AUGCCACCCGUCCUCCAGUUCAUCUGCCGUCCACACGGCCAGGUUCGCCGCCCCACGCCCCUGCCACCGCCUGUCGCAGGGCCGGUGACGUCUCUCCGACAGGGCCGCCGCCCCGAGGACCUCGGCCCCCCGCAGAAGAGGCAGGGCAGCCAGGGCCCCGCCGCCACCUUCCUCGGCGGCGCCCCGGGCUUGGCCUCAGGCGGCGGCGAGGGGGAAGGGAGGGGAAAAGAAGGUGGCGGCGCUAGGGUUUGGACCCCCGAGUCGCCCGAGCAGGGGCCAAUAUCUCGAGUUGCCCUUACCUAA
This 303-nucleotide ribosomal RNA is filed under the name Triticum aestivum (bread wheat). Its description in RNAcentral is "partial small subunit ribosomal RNA". Lineage: Eukaryota; Viridiplantae; Streptophyta; Magnoliopsida; Poales; Poaceae. The record is from RNAcentral.